AUGGUGAAUUUGCGUGGGUCGACGGCGGUCUGGGCCGGCAGGUACCUCCUGCCGCUGGCCUUCCCGGCGUGCUGUGCCCUAUGGAUGCUCCUCGUCUUCCCUUCUCCGCCGGUGGAGGUCGCCGUCUUCCGGCAGAGUUUCCAGCCGAGCAUUCCGUUGACGGGGCUGCGGGCCGUUGACACGACGCCCCCGUGGCCGUCGGAGCGUCGAGAGAUCGUUGACACGUCCUCGCCGCUGACGCCGCCGCCGCCGCCGACGGAGCACCAUGUCAUCAUUAACGCUCCGCCUCCACCGCUGGCACCGAAACGUCAAGCAAGAACGGAGAUGUCACGUCAAGCAGGGACAGAGAUUCAAUCGCCACCUCCACCGGCGGUGGCGACCGACAGGUGCGCCGGCCGCUACAUCUACAUCCAUAAUCUGCCGAGUCGGUUCAACUCCGACCUGAUCCGGGACUGCCGGUCCCUGUCAGAGUGGGCCGACAUGUGCAAGCACCUCCUCAACGCCGGCAUGGGCCCGCGGCUCACGCGCACCGGCGGCGUUCUCCCGUCCACUGGCUGGUACGACACCAACCAGUUCGCCCUGGAGGUCAUCUUCCACAGCCGGAUGCGACGGUACGAUUGCCUCACCACCGACGCGUCCCGCGCCGCUGCCGUCUACGUGCCCUACUAUGCAGGGCUCGACGUCGGCCGGCACCUGUGGGGGUUCAGCAACGGCGUCCGCGACGCUCUCGCGGAGGACCUCUUCGAGUGGCUCCGGUCGUCACCGGUAUGGGCGGCGCAGGGCGGGCGGGACCACUUCUUCGUCGGCGGUCGCAUCACGUGGGACUUCCGGCGCGAGGUCGGCGGCGAGUGGGGGAGCCGGCUGCUUCUCCUCCCGGAGGCCAAGAACAUGACGAUGCUCGCCAUCGAGUCCAGCCCGUGGCACGGCAACGACAUCGGCGUGCCGUACCCGACCUACUUCCACCCGUCCCUCGCCGGCGAGGUGGCCUCAUGGCAGCGGGCCGUGCGACACACGCGAAGGCCAUGGCUGUUCGCGUUCGCUGGCGGCGCGCGGGCGCACGACGGCAGCAACAAGAACGUUAACGCCGUCGUCCGCGACAUGAUCAUCAACCAGUGCGCGCGGUCGCGGCGGUGCGGGCUCCUUCUGUGCGGCGGCCGUGGCCGGCGCAACGACUGCUACGCGCCGAGCAACGUCAUGCGGCUGUUCAAGAGCGCCGCCUUCUGCCUGCAGCCCCAGGGGGACUCGUACACGCGGCGGUCGGCGUUCGACGCCGUGCUCGCCGGCUGUGUGCCGGUGUUCUUCCACCCCGGAUCGGCGUACGUGCAGUACCGGUGGCAUCUGCCGGCGGAUCACCGCAAGUACUCGGUGUUCGUGCCGGAGGACGGCGUGCGGAACGGCACAGUGAAGGUGGAGGACGUGCUCCGGCGGAUCGGCGCCAGGGAGGUGGCGGCCAUGAGGGAGCAGGUGGUCAGGUUGAUUCCCAACAUCGUGUACAGGGACCCAAGGGUCAAGGCUGGCUACCGCUUCAGGGACGCCGUGGACGUCGCCGUGGACGGCGUGAUCGAGAGGGUGAGGAGGAUCAAGCGAGGGCUGGAGGACGAUGUGGGGCAUCAGUGGGAUAGUUACUUUGACAAGUAG
This 1638-nucleotide ribosomal RNA is filed under the name Triticum aestivum (bread wheat). RNAcentral describes it as "partial small subunit ribosomal RNA". The record is from RNAcentral. Lineage: Eukaryota; Viridiplantae; Streptophyta; Magnoliopsida; Poales; Poaceae.